GAGCACAGAGCAGCCCUGCCCUCUGUCCACCUGCCUGGAGCCCUUGACCAUGGCGGCCCUGGCAGCCACAAUAUCCAAGCGCCGUGCUGCGGCCGAGGGUCUUGGCUCCAACCAGAAAGCCGUGAAGUACUUGGGCCAGGACUUCGAGACCCUGAGGCAGCAGUGCUUGGACUCAGGGGUCCUAUUUAAGGACCCAGAGUUCCCAGCAUGCCCAUCAGCCUUGGGCUACAAGGACCUCGGACCACACUCCCCCCAAACUCAAGGCAUCGUCUGGAAGCGGCCCACGGAAUUGUGUCCCAGCCCUCAGUUUAUCAUUGGCGGAGCCACACGCACAGACGUCUGUCAGGGUGCUUUAGGUGACUGCUGGCUGCUGGCGGCCAUCGCCUCCCUCACCUUGAACGAAGAGCUGCUUUACCGCGUGGUGCCCAGGGACCAGAACUUCCAGGAGAACUACGCAGGAAUCUUUCACUUUCAGUUUUGGCAGUACGGCGAGUGGGUGGAGGUGGUCGUGGACGACAGGCUGCCCACCAGGGCCGGGGAGCUGCUCUUCCUGCACUCCGGAGAGGGCCGUGAGUUCUGGAGUGCGCUGCUGGAGAAGGCCUACGCCAAGCUCAACGGCUCUUACGAGGCUCUCGCUGGAGGGUCCACAGUGGAGGGGUUUGAGGAUUUCACAGGUGGCAUCUCUGAGUUUUAUGACCUGAAGAAGCCGCCGGCCAGUUUGUAUCAGAUCGUCCGCAAGGCCCUCCGUGCGGGGUCUCUGCUGGCCUGCUCCAUUGAUGUCUCCAGUGCAGCUGAAGCAGAAGCCAUCACUAGCCAGAAGCUGGUUAAGAGUCACGCCUACUCCAUCACUGGAGCGGAAGAGGUGGAUUUCCGGGGCCAUCGGGAGAAGCUGAUCCGACUCAGGAACCCCUGGGGCCAAGUGGAGUGGACGGGGGCCUGGAGCGACAAUGCACCAGAAUGGAAUUACAUAGAUCCCAGACAGAAAGAAGGGCUGGACAAGAAAGCCGAGGAUGGAGAGUUUUGGAUGUCUUUUUCGGAUUUCUUGAAGCAGUUCUCUCGACUGGAGAUCUGCAACCUCUCCCCCGACUCCCUGAGCAGCGAGGAGGUGCAGAAGUGGAAUCUGGUUCUGUUCAAUGGGCGCUGGACGCGGGGCUCCACGGCUGGCGGCUGCCAGAACUACCCAGCCACUUACUGGACCAAUCCGCAGUUCAAAAUCCAUCUGGACGAGGUGGAUGACCACCAGGAGGAGGGCAUUGCUGAAGCCUGCUGCACGGUGCUGCUGGGGCUGAUGCAGAAGAACCGUAGGCGACAGAAGAGGAUGGGACAGGGCCUGCUCAGCAUCGGCUAUGCUGUCUACCAGGUCCCCAAAGAGCUGGAGAGUCCCACGGACGCGCACCUGGGCCGGGACUUCUUCCUGGGCCGCCAGCCCUCCGCCCGCUCCAGCACCUACGUCAACCUGCGCGAGGUCUCCGCGCGCCUGCGCCUGCCGCCGGGGGCGUACGUGGUCGUGCCGUCCACCUUCGAGCCCUUCCGGGACGGCGACUUUUGCCUGCGGGUGUUCUCCGAGAAGAAGGCCGAGGCCCUGGAAAUUGGGGAUGUGGUAGCUGGAAACCCACAUGAGCCACACCCCAGCGAGGUGGCUCAAGAAGACGGUCCGCUCCAGAGCCUGUUUGAGAAGCUUGCAGGGAAGGAUUCUGAGCUUGGUGCCAAUGAACUCAAGAUGGCUCUGAAUGAGGUGUUUUCCAAGCGAUCUGACAUAAAAUUCAACGGCUUCGACAUCAACACUUGCAGGGAGAUGAUCAGCCUGAUGGAUAGCAAUGGGACAGGCACCUUGGGGCUGGUGGAAUUCAAGACGCUCUGGUGGAAGAUUGAGAAGUAUCUGGAGAUCUACCGGGAAACCGAUGCUAAGCACUUGGGGACCAUCGAUGCCCAUGAGAUGAGGGCGGCCCUCCAGAAGGCAGGUUUCACCCUCAACAACCAGGUACAGCAGACCAUCGUCACGCGGUAUGCAUGCAGCAAACUGGGCAUCGACUUUGACGGCUUCCUCGCUUGUAUGAUCCGCCUGGAGACCCUCUUCAAAAUCUUCAGCCUUCUGGACAAGGACCAGAACGGCAUCGUCCGGCUCUCUCUGGCUGAGACCUGCAUUUUGCCGGCAAAGGAAUCCCCCCUGUAUCCUGCCUGGUCCUGGAAGGCUCGCCUUGUGAUGUGGGGACAAAGCCCCGACUGUGAGUAAACUUGUAUGCUGCCUUGUUUUUCCUUUUUGUAUGAGGACCCCCCCGGGAGUCCGGGGCCCACCCUGGCCUCCUGCUCUUCUGUCUUGCAAGAGUUUCAGGGGUGGGGGUGGGACCUCUGGAGGGGGGGGCAGUCAGGUCCCAGGGCACCUGGGGGAGAUGCAGGUUUGGGACUUUGGUGGGAACAGGGUGACUCUGGAGGCC
RNAcentral lists this long non-coding RNA (2435 nucleotides) under Sus scrofa (pig). RNAcentral describes it as "lncRNA (ENSSSCG00030061701.1)". The record is from RNAcentral. Lineage: Eukaryota; Metazoa; Chordata; Mammalia; Artiodactyla; Suidae.